CCCGGCCGUCGCCGAGCCGGGCGAGGGUGACGCGCGUCAGGGGCGCGGUGCGCGGGUCCAGGCCGCGGGCCCGGUCC
RNAcentral lists this transfer RNA (77 nucleotides) under Streptomyces paromomycinus. Its description in RNAcentral is "tRNA-Leu". Lineage: Bacteria; Bacillati; Actinomycetota; Actinomycetes; Kitasatosporales; Streptomycetaceae. RNAcentral also lists the same sequence under 1 other name. The record is from RNAcentral.